Molecule: long non-coding RNA, 350 nt
Organism: Pieris napi
Lineage: Eukaryota; Metazoa; Arthropoda; Insecta; Lepidoptera; Pieridae
Exons: 2
Source: RefSeq, a predicted model, not a curated record
CUCGAGCAUUGGCAAGCAAAUUAAUUCAGUAUACAUAGUCUCGAUAACUUUUAAACUGUAAACAAUUAUAUAUUUAAAAUAAUCCUUGAUAGUCGUAAUAUAAACAAGGUUUACAUGCUGCAAGUAGAACAUUUUUGUGAGAUGAUGGUAAAAAAAAUAUGGGCAACCAAUGACGAUAUUGUAAAUUGUAAUGAACAGUGGCUACUGACCGGCUGACAUACGAUCGAAGGUGACGAGUUCCGGACAUGAAAGUGCUGUAUCGAUCAAAUAAUACAUUCAUUACAGUCAAAAUCAGUCCGAAUCGGGAAAGGUAUAAACUUAUAUAUGCCACGUAUUACAAGUUUACCUUU